Molecule: ribosomal RNA, 450 nt
Filed under: uncultured bacterium
Lineage: Bacteria
Description: partial 16S ribosomal RNA
Rfam family: Bacterial small subunit ribosomal RNA
Source: RNAcentral
GUGGGGAAUCUUCCGCAAUGGACGAAAGUCUGACGGAGCAACGCCGCGUGAGUGAAGAAGGUUUUCGGAUCGUAAAGCUCUUUCGUUAGGGACGAACGUGCUCUUUGUGAAUAAUGAGGAGUAAUGACGGUACCUAAAUAAGAAGCCACGGCUAACUACGUGCCAGCAGCCGCGGUAAUACGUAGGUGGCAAGCGUUGUCCGGAAUUAUUGGGCGUACAGCGCGCGCAGGCGGGAUAUCAAGUCUGUCUUAAAAGUGCGAGGCUCAACCUCGUGAGGGGACAGAAACUGGUAUUCUUGAGUGUCGGAGAGGAAAGUGGAAGUCCAAGUGUAGCGGUGAAAUGCGUAGAGAUUUGGAAGAACACCAGUGGCGAAGGCGACUUUCUGGACGAUGUCUGACGCUGAGGCGCGAAAGCUAGGGGAGCGAACGGGAUUAGAAACCCCGGUAGUCC